GAUGAACGCUGGCGGCGUGCCUAAUACAUGCAAGUCGAGCGAACAGAUGAGGAGCUUGCUCCUCUGACGUUAGCGGCGGACGGGUGAGUAACACGUGGAUAACCUACCUAUAAGACUGGGAUAACUUCGGGAAACCGGAGCUAAUACCGGAUAAUAUAUUGAACCGCAUGGUUCAAUAGUGAAAGACGGUUUUGCUGUCACUUAUAGAUGGAUCCGCGCCGCAUUAGCUAGUUGGUAAGGUAACGGCUUACCAAGGCAACGAUGCGUAGCCGGCCUGAGAGGGUGAUCGGCCACACUGGAACUGAGACACGGUCCAGACUCCUACGGGAGGCAGCAGUAGGGAAUCUUCCGCAAUGGCGAAAGCCUGACGGAGCAACGCCGCGUGAGUGAUGAAGGUCUUCGGAUCGUAAAACUCUGUUAUUAGGGAAGAACAAAUGUGUAAGUAACUAUGCACGUCUUGACGGUACCUAAUCAGAAAGCCACGGCUAACUACGUG
RNAcentral lists this ribosomal RNA (496 nucleotides) under uncultured bacterium. Its description in RNAcentral is "partial 16S ribosomal RNA". It matches the Rfam family "Bacterial small subunit ribosomal RNA", at positions 28 to 507 of the family's 1533-position model. The record is from RNAcentral.